GGGUUGUGAGGUUAAGCGACUAAGCGUACACGGUGGAUGCCCUGGCAGUCAGAGGCGAUGAAGGACGUGCUAAUCUGCGAUAAGCGUCGGUGAGGUGAUAUGAACCGUUAUAACCGGCGAUUUCCGAAUGGGGAAACCCAGUGUGAUUCGUCACACUAUCAUUAACUGAAUCCAUAGGUUAAUGAGGCGAACCGGGGGAACUGAAACAUCUAAGUACCCCGAGGAAAAGAAAUCAACCGAGAUUCCCCCAGUAGCGGCGAGCGAACGGGGAGCAGCCCAGAGCCUGAAUCAGUGUGUGUGUUAGUGGAAGCGUCUGGAAAGGCGCGCGAUACAGGGUGACAGCCCCGUACACAAAAAUGCACAUACUGUGAGCUCGAUGAGUAGGGCGGGACACGUGGUAUCCUGUCUGAAUAUGGGGGGACCAUCCUCCAAGGCUAAAUACUCCUGACUGACCGAUAGUGAACCAGUACCGUGAGGGAAAGGCGAAAAGAACCCCGGCGAGGGGAGUGAAAAAGAACCUGAAACCGUGUACGUACAAGCAGUGGGAGCCUCUUAAUGGGGUGACUGCGUACCUUUUGUAUAAUGGGUCAGCGACUUAUAUUCUGUAGCAAGGUUAACCGAAUAGGGGAGCCGAAGGGAAACCGAGUCUUAACUGGGCGUUAAGUUGCAGGGUAUAGACCCGAAACCCGGUGAUCUAGCCAUGGGCAGGUUGAAGGUUGGGUAACACUAACUGGAGGACCGAACCGACUAAUGUUGAAAAAUUAGCGGAUGACUUGUGGCUGGGGGUGAAAGGCCAAUCAAACCGGGAGAUAGCUGGUUCUCCCCGAAAGCUAUUUAGGUAGCGCCUCGUGAAUUCAUCUCCGGGGGUAGAGCACUGUUUCGGCAAGGGGGUCAUCCCGACUUACCAACCCGAUGCAAACUGCGAAUACCGGAGAAUGUUAUCACGGGAGACACACGGCGGGUGCUAACGUCCGUCGUGAAGAGGGAAACAACCCAGACCGCCAGCUAAGGUCCCAAAGUCAUGGUUAAGUGGGAAACGAUGUGGGAAGGCCCAGACAGCCAGGAUGUUGGCUUAGAAGCAGCCAUCAUUUAAAGAAAGCGUAAUAGCUCACUGGUCGAGUCGGCCUGCGCGGAAGAUGUAACGGGGCUAAACCAUGCACCGAAGCUGCGGCAGCGACGCUUAUGCGUUGUUGGGUAGGGGAGCGUUCUGUAAGCCUGUGAAGGUGUACUGUGAGGUAUGCUGGAGGUAUCAGAAGUGCGAAUGCUGACAUAAGUAACGAUAAAGCGGGUGAAAAGCCCGCUCGCCGGAAGACCAAGGGUUCCUGUCCAACGUUAAUCGGGGCAGGGUGAGUCGACCCCUAAGGCGAGGCCGAAAGGCGUAGUCGAUGGGAAACAGGUUAAUAUUCCUGUACUUGGUGUUACUGCGAAGGGGGGACGGAGAAGGCUAUGUUGGCCGGGCGACGGUUGUCCCGGUUUAAGCGUGUAGGCUGGUUUUCCAGGCAAAUCCGGAAAANNNNNNNNNNNNNNNNNNNNNNNNNNNNNNNNNNNNNNNNNNNNNNNNNNNNNNCAUCAAAUCGUACCCCAAACCGACACAGGUGGUCAGGUAGAGAAUACCAAGGCGCUUGAGAGAACUCGGGUGAAGGAACUAGGCAAAAUGGUGCCGUAACUUCGGGAGAAGGCACGCUGAUAUGUAGGUGAAGCGACUUGCUCGUGGAGCUGAAAUCAGUCGAAGAUACCAGCUGGCUGCAACUGUUUAUUAAAAACACAGCACUGUGCAAACACGAAAGUGGACGUAUACGGUGUGACGCCUGCCCGGUGCCGGAAGGUUAAUUGAUGGGGUUAGCGGUAACGCGAAGCUCUUGAUCGAAGCCCCGGUAAACGGCGGCCGUAACUAUAACGGUCCUAAGGUAGCGAAAUUCCUUGUCGGGUAAGUUCCGACCUGCACGAAUGGCGUAAUGAUGGCCAGGCUGUCUCCACCCGAGACUCAGUGAAAUUGAACUCGCUGUGAAGAUGCAGUGUACCCGCGGCAAGACGGAAAGACCCCGUGAACCUUUACUAUAGCUUGACACUGAACAUUGAGCCUUGAUGUGUAGGAUAGGUGGGAGGCUUUGAAGUGUGGACGCCAGUCUGCAUGGAGCCGGCCUUGAAAUACCACCCUUUAAUGUUUGAUGUUCUAACGUUGGCCCCUGAUCGGGGUUGCGGACAGUGUCUGGUGGGUAGUUUGACUGGGGCGGUCUCCUCCUAAAGAGUAACGGAGGAGCACGAAGGUUGGCUAAUCCUGGUCGGACAUCAGGAGGUUAGUGCAAUGGCAUAAGCCAGCUUGACUGCGAGCGUGACGGCGCGAGCAGGUGCGAAAGCAGGUCAUAGUGAUCCGGUGGUUCUGAAUGGAAGGGCCAUCGCUCAACGGAUAAAAGGUACUCCGGGGAUAACAGGCUGAUACCGCCCAAGAGUUCAUAUCGACGGCGGUGUUUGGCACCUCGAUGUCGGCUCAUCACAUCCUGGGGCUGAAGUAGGUCCCAAGGGUAUGGCUGUUCGCCAUUUAAAGUGGUACGCGAGCUGGGUUUAGAACGUCGUGAGACAGUUCGGUCCCUAUCUGCCGUGGGCGCUGGAGAACUGAGGGGGGCUGCUCCUAGUACGAGAGGACCGGAGUGGACGCAUCACUGGUGUUCGGGUUGUCAUGCCAAUGGCACUGCCCGGUAGCUAAAUGCGGAAGAGAUAAGUGCUGAAAGCAUCUAAGCACGAAACUUGCCCCGAGAUGAGUUCUCCCAGACUCAUUGAGGGACCUGAAGGAACGUAGAAGACGACGACGUUGAUAGGCCGGGUGAGUAAGCGCAGCGAUCCCUUCAGCUAACCUGUACAAAUG
RNAcentral lists this ribosomal RNA (2863 nucleotides) under Escherichia coli. RNAcentral's name for it is "partial 23S ribosomal RNA". It matches the Rfam family "Bacterial large subunit ribosomal RNA". The record is from RNAcentral. Lineage: Bacteria; Pseudomonadati; Pseudomonadota; Gammaproteobacteria; Enterobacterales; Enterobacteriaceae.